UGGCGUGCCCUGUCUGCAAUCCUGCCUUUCAGUAAGGGGCAGUAAGGACAAGAUCCACCCACCACCCAGUGCAUGCUACAUAUGUGUGUGUAAUAAAUUGAGAGGGAAAGUGUGUGUGAUAAAUGAAAUUUAAUAAAGUAAGUAAAAUUUUGAA
This is a long non-coding RNA of Alosa alosa (allis shad), 154 nucleotides long. RefSeq lists it as uncharacterized. NCBI's taxonomy places the organism in Eukaryota, Metazoa, Chordata, Actinopteri, Clupeiformes, Clupeidae. The transcript has 2 exons. The record is from RefSeq and is a predicted model, not a curated record.